AAAUUGAAGAGUUUGAUCAUGGCUCAGAUUGAACGCUGGCGGCAGGCCUAACACAUGCAAGUCGAACGGUAACAGGAAGAAGCUUGCUUCUUUGCUGACGAGUGGCGGACGGGUGAGUAAUGUCUGGGAAACUGCCUGAUGGAGGGGGAUAACUACUGGAAACGGUAGCUAAUACCGCAUAACGUCGCAAGACCAAAGAGGGGGACCUUCGGGCCUCUUGCCAUCGGAUGUGCCCAGAUGGGAUUAGCUAGUAGGUGGGGUAACGGCUCACCUAGGCGACGAUC
RNAcentral lists this ribosomal RNA (284 nucleotides) under Escherichia coli. Its description in RNAcentral is "partial 16S ribosomal RNA". It matches the Rfam family "Bacterial small subunit ribosomal RNA", at positions 1 to 281 of the family's 1533-position model. Lineage: Bacteria; Pseudomonadati; Pseudomonadota; Gammaproteobacteria; Enterobacterales; Enterobacteriaceae. The record is from RNAcentral.